UGCACUGAUGCAACUUGUAAUAAAUCUCUGAUAGACUCUAUUACUUUUUUUUCACUUUCACUUUCUCUAAUAUUUUGUGUUUAGAAAGAAACUAAUUCAUAUAUAAACACAGUUUUAUGAAAAAUGAAUUUUGACCUCCCCUGAUGACUUGAUACAAAUGAAUGCUUAUGUUUCAACACAAUAAUGCCACUGGCAAACGGCAAUGAUAUCCCAGGGAUUAUUUGGUCAGUAUUCUGCACAAAUUCAAUAUACGUUGUAUUUCAUUCUUUCUAAUAACAACAUAAAAAAAAUCAGAAAAUGUGGGAGAGAAAUACAAUAUAAUCUGCAAAUAGCAAACAUUUCUUUUUCUUUCAUUUUUUUUUUUUUUUUUUUUACAUUAGUUGUACAAAAUAUUAAUGCACAAAUUACAUAUUGAUACAGUAUUUGAUAUCUGUUUCUAAGUUAGGAGUAUCAAGAUAAAAAAAAAUCAAAUUUUUUUAUAAUGGCUUUCAAUCGAUCUUACAUACCUAAUCAAACACAUUAGAUGCAUCAGAAAUCAAUGAUUUAGGGAUAGAAUGGGUGAUAAAAUUAAAACAAAUGGGCUUAAUGGUGCAAACAGUUUCAGCUUCACAAAGGGACUUUCUUCAAGAAGAACUUCCAAUCAAUGUCUACUGAUAAAAUGCUUUUUCUAUUAAUCUCCAUAUAAAAAACAGCUUGGAGAAGUGUCUAUUGCUUUGUUCAAUUUUAAAGGAUAAUUGAUAUUCAAAAUCAAACACAAUUUCAAUCUUAAAAGCAAAUAUUGAUCUCAAUACAAAUGCUUUUUCAGCAAAUGAAAUAAAACUUGUAAUGCAAAUAGCUCUAUAAAUAAAACUUGUUCUGUUUGAGAACAUACAGUAUUUAAUAGAUCACAUACAGGUAUAAAAGAUUUCAUUGAAAAUCAUUUUAUUCUCAAAUGAAAAAUUACUAAUUACUUUAAUCAAUUCACAUUGACAUGCGCACCUAAAACAUCAAUGAAAAAAAAUUAAACUUAUUGUUCAUGAUGUGCUCAAAAAUAAUUAUUUUUUUUUCUUUCACAAAUGCACAUCCCACGUCAAUUCUCUUUCUGUCCAGCCUAUCAUCCCCAGCCUCUCCCAUUUUGUAUUUAGCAGACGUUUAAUCCACUGCUUCUCUGCAGUACACAGCACAAACAAAUGAAGUAGAUAGUUACUUCAUGAAAACCUUAGCAUACAACAGAUCUGCCAUAUCUGUGGCCCCCUUUCUCUGAAAUCAGCAGAUGCCCGUAGAGUUGGUAACGUUUUUUACAUGGAGGAUAAUGAUCCACUGUUAUCAGUUAUUGAUUUUUCUCACAGGGAACUUUAAUUCCCAUGUAGAGAACUCUCAUGGAAGCUACAGAAUUGUCAUUUAUAUCCUAUUCUUCAAAUUUGACUGAAUUUUUGGGAAGCUCUGCAGACAAUACUGCCUUUAAUGUGUCUUUCACACAAAAUCAAUUAGUAAGCAUUGCCAUGUACAGUCUUUUAAACUACAUUGCAUAAAUACUAUUGAAUGUUAUUUAAUAGCCUAAACAACCUUCCCUGCAUACUAGAGUGGUUUAAAACUGGAUCAAAUGUUUGAAAAUACCUUUAGAUUUCAUCUUUGUCUCCCUCAUGCUUGACCUGUGUGGUAGUCCCCUGCUCUCCCAAAACACAAAUGUGACAAAAGUGCUACCACAAGAACCAGUACGACUGGUACUGAAUACUAGACUUGAUGAGCCAUCACAAUAUUCAACAUCAAAAUAUUGAUUCUGCCAGCAUGUAUUACAUGUACAUAAAUUCUAUAAUCAAUACAAUGAACAUACAAAUGAUUUUAACGCUGGCCUACACCAUAUUGAGCCGUAUCAUUGCCAUUUGACAAAUUACCAAUUAGAAGGAAGACCCUCCAGCGCCCAUUAAAGUGCUUAAUACAUUCAUUAAUUUUAACUCAAAAAGAAAGAGAUAAUCACAUUUUUAUUCCGAAAAACAUAAGUAGAUGAGUCAAUGAUCAAAGGUACACAUCAGCUGAAAAAUGUACACCGAGAGCCCAGGGGCCAAGAGUUUCUCUAUCACUUUAAGUUAACAUUUUCAGACCACAUUGUUUCUAUUUGCAUCUUGUAAAAAGUCUUUUCAAUGAUUUUUGCAUAUCUACACAAGACUAAUUUACCCCUGUUGUAACUUUUAGAGCAGAAAAUGGGAUUCUUCGCUUUAGACGACUGUCAUGAUAGCACAAAACAUAUAUUAUCCACCAUUAAGAGUUUAGAGAAUUCAAGAUAUUAAGUCAUUUGCAUAGAAAGUCAAUUUUGAAGACAAAGUUUUGAAAGAAGAUAGUGAAAUUAAUGGCCAAAUCAACACAAUGUUUACUUCUUAUUUCAGAACUAAGACCAUCGGAGGGCUAAUUAGUAUUCCCCCCGAGACAACAAUAACCUAGCAUCUAUGUACGUGUGAAACACACAAUUUUACUUCAAUUUUAGAUAACAUAUAAGGACAAAUUAAUUGUGCAAGAAAAAGACAUCACACUCUACUUAUUUUCACUGUCUUUCACGUUUUAGGAAUAUUACUGACAUCUCCUAAAAGCGUCAACAUUUUAUCAUUUUUCAUUUAGUAAGAAAUUGACCAAUAAAACUGGAGAAUCCCUGACCUAAGUAUGGGAGACACCUUUUUAAUCUAAUCAGUUGAAAAAACAUGAAAAACGGAUCAAACUACAGUUAGGUAUUAUUUGGGGCCACUUACAACAUCAACAAAAACACAAAAUCACACAUAAAAAUCAAAUAAAAGAAAAACAAUCACAGUUACUACAAAUCCCUUGACAGGAUGUGCAUUUGUCCUCAAGAUGCCUUCAGGACUUUCAACAUAACGGACAAACAAGAAAAUGGUGCGACAGUGAUCGUGUACAUCAGAACCAAUUAAGCAAACAUUGACAGGUCCCGUGACUAACCUAUCAGACCUUUCAUCAAUAACCAGACAAUAUAAAUCAAUAACUGGACAGAUGACGACCAAUGGUUCACGUAAUGACCAUGUAUGUGACCAGUGGACAACUAAAAAUCAAUGAAAAGACAGAUCGGACAAUAGAAAUCAAUAAAGGAACUAUUUGUUAUUGACAAAAAAACAUAAGAAGUCAAUAUCUUGGCGUAUUAAUGGGACACAGGGUUGUCAUAUUUACAGUCUAUAUCUAUGUUAAUUGAAUCUGGUAUACAUAUAUGUAUGUUUCUAAACGCAGCUGUACAUGGUGGGAAAUAGGAACAGCAGGUCCUUCCUUCCAAACAUUUGACAUUGUUGAAUAUGUUCAAAUAAGUUUAUGUUUUCUGAACACUUUGGAUAAGUUCAAAUAAGUUUAUGUUUUCUAAACACUUUGGAUAAGUUCAAAUAAGUUUAUGUUUUCUGAACACUUUGGAUAAGUUCAAAUAAGUUUAUGUUUUCUAAACACUUUGAAUAAGUUCAAAUAAGUUUAUGUUUAAAAAACACUUUGAAUAAGUUCAAAUAAGUUUAUGUUUUCUAAACACUUUGGAUAAGUUCAAAUAAGUUUAUGUUUUCUUAACACUUUGAAUAAGUUCAAAUAAGUUUAUGUUUUCUAAACACUUUGGAUAAGUUCAAAUAAGUUUAUGUUUUCUUAACACUUUGAAUAAGUUCAAAUAAGUUUAUGUUUUCAAAAAACUUUGAAUAAGUUCAAAUAAGUUUACCGUACAUGUAUGAGAUUAUACUCACAAGAAUGCAAUCAACUUCAAAUAAUUGGAAAAAGUUUUUUCUUGUUAAACUAGUAAUCUAGAGAGUAUCUAAGCCACACAAAAGCUAAAAUAUACAGUUUGCAAAUACAAUUUCUAAGGUGAAAGUAAAAAAAAUAAUUUUUUUGGUAUCUUUUGAUUUUGUUGUUUCAAUUUUCCGUUUUGCAUGCUUAGACUGGUUGCUAUCACUGUGCACACCAGUGAGGGACUUGCAAGGCUAUAUUCCUCACAACAAUCAGACAGUUAAUGUCUUGUUGUUGCUUGUGGUUAACACCUCCUCACGGAAUUUUCUUUUACCAAUGUGUGUUACUGUCUAAUUUUAGUUAAAGAUUCUUGGUAAAAUUAAAAAGUUACUAAUUUUACAGGAGACAAAAUCCAUGAUGUUUGAAUGGUGGUGAUGGUGUGGGAAGGGGGGUGGAGAUUAACUUACUUGGCUGCAGUGGCCUCCUCAUACUUGGCUUUAACUUCAAACAACUCGGAUUGCACAUUCUCUAAAGCUAAAACAGAGAAAAUAUAAUCCAAAUUAGCAAAAAAACAACAAUACUCAUUUCAUAGAAUCAAAUUCAAUCAUGGACUGCACAUAGUUGGAAGUUAAUGACAGAUACUACCUGGCAUAUGUAUCUCCCAUCAGUCUGACUAUCAAUUAAUUCAUAUAAUCCUAUCCUAUGCCAGUAGGAAUCAAACAUUAUGUAAUAUUUUUGAAAUAUCUUAAUCCAGUAGAUCAAGUAAGAAGACACAAAAUACUUCACAGGUGCACAUACGACGACAUUGCACUAAAUAAAUGCUGUGAUCGAAACGGAAUACCAAACUCAAAUAAAAAAUUACUUAUUGGCAUUCAUUUGUUUUAACAUCCAAUUAAAAAUCAGCAAUGUCUAAAUAUAAUUGACCUUGAAUAUGAAAAAUACAUUAUAAUUCUGCAUUUGAAUUCACUCCUUGGCCCAGCAUAUCAAAUCUCACAGUCUCUGUCAAUAUCAAGUCCUCUCCUUCUUAAUGAUAUAAUGUCCAUAUCGGCCCAUCCACAAAUAACUUAGAACAAUGGCGGGUCAGCUUGCUGUCAAUUUUGGUAAUUGUUGACAGUGGGCCACGAUUUAUGCUUGACAGCCAAUCAAUUUCUUGUGUCCUCUCUGCUAUUAAUUCACCAUCAUCAAGGAAUCCUUUGCCGAGUUUGAAACAUAAAUAUCAACACAGUCCUUGCAUAUUUUAAGAUACUGUUUGUCGGACCCUAUAUGGAAUAGCAUAUUUGACAACAAUCCUUUUCAACAUAUUUCUGCAUGUGGUAAAUUCCAAUACAUACAGAUUUACCACAUUUCUAACCGCCGACAAAAAUCACCUUUGAAUCAGUAACCUCACAAAAAUAUAACCUACUAACAUCUCUGAGAAUCCCUCGACUGUCUGUGACAAGCUUGCAACAGAACUAAUUCCAAUACAAAAAAUAAAUCAAUUAAAAACAUCAACUAAUCAAAACCUUUCAUUUUUCGUAUUAAAUAUUUACAAAUUUUGAUUGACUUUACGAUACAAAAAUCAAAUCAAAAUUUUAAAUCAUAUGUUCAUUUUGAAUAAAUUAGACAAAAGUGAUAUUAAUUUAUGAUAAUUGCAACCACAAUUAAUAUGGUUUCUAUGUAAAUCAAAUCAGCUGACACUUGCCAGGAUAUAGAAGCAUGUGUCAGUUUCAGAGAAAAUGACAUUGAUUCGACAUGAGGUAUACUUCAUAAACAAAUACACAAUCACAUUGAUAUCUAUAUUCUGUCCAUGUAAAGGUCCUCUGCAUGCGAGUUAAUGAUAGACAGCUAUCACUAUUUUCAAAAAAAUAAAUCUAUUUAUACUAAUAUAAGUCAAAUGUAGCACACAAUCAGGAUAGUUUUAAAACAUAUUCCAUUAAAAUCAAACUUGGAUUUUUGAAACAAUUUUUUGAAAUCACAUAUACAGUAAAUCACACCGUCGAUUAAUGAUAAAAUGCACUCAGAUGUUCAAUGCAUACUUACACACAGUACAGAAUUAAGGCAAGUUAACUUGUUCAUCCUCUCAAUAUACCAAACAAAAAGUUUCAUAAUUCUAUGUUGUUGUAAUGGACAUUUGUUACUAUGGACUAUUCAACAGCAAAAAGAUAUAUAUGAUCAUAACAUUAUGACAUUUGUAUAGGCUAAAACAAAGUUGAAUGUGUAAGAAUUUGUUGGGUAUCUGGAUAUCAAGACUUGACAAAUUUUUCUUCCACAUAUAUGUACAUUGUAUGGAUAAACAGAUUUCUUUUGUGUAAUAUGACUUAGCUUUAUUACAAAAUUAUCUCCAUUUCUGAUAUUAAAUACUAUGCAGUAUUAAUCAUAAAUUUCUGUGUAAAUGGUUUUACUUUCCAAUAAUUUGCUCAUUUAAAAAAAAAAGGUAGAAAUAUAAAGAUUUUCUUCCUUGUUGAAGUUUAAAUCUUGAAUAAUCAUUAAGUUUUGCUCACUUGAUCUAGCUAAUUUACUCAGUUGCAGUUGGUAUUUGAAGCUUUAGUGUUGUAAAUGGUGUAAUUUUGUUUUGCGUGAUAUUUUUCAUCAUAAUUUACACAGUGUCUUACAAAUGUGACUUUUCACUUGUACAACAUCCCUACAUCUGGGUCAAACCAAACGUAACAGACCAGAAAAUUGCUCUCGUCGGAGUCUCAGCUUUUAUAUUAAUUUCUUCUUCUCUGUUUUAUGUAAACUGAAUUUUAGGGAGGAAACUAGGUAGAAAAAAAUUUCAGUCUGAAUUACGCUUGUAUCAAUGGAAACACUUAAAUUUCAGUGCAAAAUUUAGUUAACAAACUGUUAUUGGGGUCCGUUUCUAACACUGCAAAAUCUAUGGAUUUUAAUUUGGAGAUUUUUUGGGGGAAAUUCUAUAUUUUCCCAUAUUUAGACACUGAUUUGCCCUUUCAUACUAGAUGUCAAUUCUGUUCAAUGCAAAGGCGUUUUCUUGAACUUUCAAACUAUCUAAGGAUGACUUUCCCUAAAAUUGUACCAAUAAAACUAUGAAAUAAAUAUUCAAAGACAC
Ostrea edulis (European flat oyster) is the source of this 6715-nucleotide long non-coding RNA. RefSeq lists it as uncharacterized. The record is from RefSeq and is a predicted model, not a curated record. The transcript has 2 exons. Lineage: Eukaryota; Metazoa; Mollusca; Bivalvia; Ostreida; Ostreidae.